This is a long non-coding RNA of Carassius gibelio (silver crucian carp), 464 nucleotides long. RefSeq lists it as uncharacterized. Lineage: Eukaryota; Metazoa; Chordata; Actinopteri; Cypriniformes; Cyprinidae. The record is from RefSeq and is a predicted model, not a curated record. The transcript has 4 exons.
CUUCCCUGUGAUCUUCUGGUUUGGUGUGUAUCCUAGAAAGACUCUUUGACUGAACUCAGGAUGAUUCAGAGGGAAAGAAACCACUUCCAAAGACCGCCCACAGGAUGAAUGCGUAUUUGGGCGCCCUCCCUAUUAAACGGUGCCUGGAUCUCGGGCGGAUAUUGUAGUGAUGGGACGAUGUGUGGAUAGCACUGUGGUUCUUGGACCACUGAUGCAUUUGUCUUGCUGGUCAUCUUAUUGAGUGUGGUGCACAGGCCACAGGAGGGAUUUCCACAGACUGGCACAUGGCUCCUGACUGAUCGCCAGUUCUGAAACCUUUCUUUUUCCUGCACCCCAAAGCAGAUCUGGAGGUGUUGCUACUAUUAUUUUUCUAUGUGUACUAUGAUAAAAACCAAUUAAUAUGGUAAUACGGUGUCAUGGUAUAUGGUGUAAUCACAUAAACUGGCUCACAUUUCUUAUUGAGA